RNAcentral lists this long non-coding RNA (1017 nucleotides) under Lathyrus oleraceus (garden pea). RNAcentral describes it as "Pisum sativum (pea) long non-coding RNA (PSAT_LNC033032)". The record is from RNAcentral. Lineage: Eukaryota; Viridiplantae; Streptophyta; Magnoliopsida; Fabales; Fabaceae.
UUACAGGAGGUAUGUUCAGUACCGAUUCUUAUAGUACUGUUCGGGGCGUGGAUAAGCUAAUUCCUGUGGAUGUCUAUUUGCCAGGCUGUCCACCUAAACCGGAAGCUGUUAUAGAUGCUAUAGCAAAACUUCGUAAGAAAAUAUCUCGAGAAAUCGAUGAAGAUCCAAUUAGUUAUCAACGAGAGAAUAGGUCUUUUACUACCAACCACAAAUUUUAUGUUGGACGCAGUACUCAUACCGGCAAUUCUAAAUGAGCAAAUGCCCGAACCAAAAUAUGUUAUUGCUAUGGGAGCCUGUACAAUUACAGGAGGUAUGUUCAGUACCGAUUCUUAUAGUACUGUUCGGGGCGUGGAUAAGCUAAUUCCUGUGGAUGUCUAUUUACCAGGCUGUCCACCUAAACCGGAAGCUGUUAUAGAUGCUAUAACAAAACUUCGUAAGAAAAUAUCUCGAGAAAUCGAUGAAGAUCCAAUUAGUUAUCAACGAGAGAAUAGGUCUUUUACUACCAACCACGAAUUUUAUGUUGGACGCAGUACUCAUACCGGCAAUUCUAAUCAAGGAUUAUUCUAUCAACCAUCAUCUAUUUCAGAGAUGACCUCUGACACAUUUUUGAAAUAUAAAAAAGUUCAGUAUCCUGCGACGAUCGAAAAAGUGAAUUAAAUAGCAUCCUUUUGUACAAAAUACAAUAAGAAAUAGCAAGCAAGUCAAUCUUAAAAAAUUUCAUUGUAAUGUAAAUAAAUGGUAAAUACUUAUACCAAUCUGAUAAAAAACUUGGGAGAAGUCAAAAAAUGCAAGGUAAUUUGUCUGCUUCGCUAGUCAAACACGGAAUAGUUCAUAGAUCUUUGGGUUUUGAUUACCAAGGAAUAGAGACUUUACAAAUAAAGCCCGAGGAUUGGCAUUAUCUAAUCAAGGAUUAUUCUAUCAACCAUCAUCUAUUUCAGAGAUGACCUCUGACACAUUUUUGAAAUAUAAAAAAGUUCAGUAUCCUGCGACGAACGAAAAAGUGAAUUAAAUAGCAUC